GACGAACGCUGGCGGCGUGCUUAACACAUGCAAGUCGAACGGAAAGGCCAGUGCUUGCACUGGUGCUCGAGUGGCGAACGGGUGAGUAACACGUGGGUGAUCUGCCUUGCACUCUGGGAUAAGCUUGGGAAACUGGGUCUAAUACCGGAUAGGAACCGUCUUUAGUGUGGUGGUUGGAAAGUUUUUUCGGUGCAAGAUGAGCUCGCGGCCUAUCAGCUUGUUGGUGGGGUAAUGGCCUACCAAAGCGUCGACGGGUAGCCGGCCGGAGAGGGUGUACGGCCACAUUGGGACUGAGAUACGGCCCAGACUCCUACGGGAGGCAGCAGGGGGGAAUAUUGCACAAUGGGCGGAAGCCUGGUGCAGGGACGCCGCGUGGGGGAUGACCGCCUUCGGGUUGUAAACUCCUUUCGACAGGGACGAAGCGUUAUGUGACGGUACCUGUAAAAGAAGCACCGGCUAACUACGUG
Molecule: ribosomal RNA, 467 nt
Filed under: uncultured bacterium
Lineage: Bacteria
Description: partial 16S ribosomal RNA
Rfam family: Bacterial small subunit ribosomal RNA
Source: RNAcentral